GACGAACGCUGGCGGCGUGCUUAACACAUGCAAGUCGAACGGAAAGGCCCUGCUUGCAGGGUACUCGAGUGGCGAACGGGUGAGUAACACGUGGGUGAUCUGCCCUGCACUUCGGGAUAAGCCUGGGAAACUGGGUCUAAUACCGGAUAGGAGCCAUUUUUAGUGUGGUGGUUGGAAAGUUUUUUCGGUGUAGGAUGAGCUCGCGGCCUAUCAGCUUGUUGGUGGGGUAAUGGCCUACCAAGGCGGCGACGGGUAGCCGGCCUGAGAGGGUGGACGGCCACAUUGGGACUUAGAUACGGCCCAGACUCCUACGGGAGGCAGCAGGGGGGAAUAUUGCACAAGGGGCGCAAGCCUGAUGCAGCGACGCCGCGUGGGGGAUGACGGCCUUCGGGUUGUAAACGCCUUUCGCUAGGGACGAAGCUUUUUGUGACGGUACCUAGAUAAGAAGCACCGGCUAACUACGUG
Molecule: ribosomal RNA, 465 nt
Filed under: uncultured bacterium
Lineage: Bacteria
Description: partial 16S ribosomal RNA
Rfam family: Bacterial small subunit ribosomal RNA
Source: RNAcentral